AUACGCGUCUCAUUACGUUGCGAACUUGCGAUUUGUCGACACAUUUAUUUUGACGCUCCGCAUUUCUUCUGCUUUCCAUACCAUCUGUUGCUAACAAUCUUGAUUACCUACGGAUUUUAUCAGAACUUUACACUAUAUAAUAUUCUUAUUACAUCGGAAGACGAGAUCUCCUGGGUUUUUUCCUUGUUUUCGUUUCGUGGAACGAUCUUUUCUUGUAAACAUUCCAACAACGAAGACGAUAAAACUGAUAAGUCGCAAAAGGAUGAAUGCAUAAAUUGACACUAGCGACAAUAGCUGCGCAGAUUCCAGAUCGAAUCAAAUUGUAAGCUUCCACCAUAGCGAAAUGGCUCGAGCUACAUGCUACAAGUAUCGAUGUUAUACGAUGGUCCAGUGACGUUGAGCCAGUUAGAAAUUCUAUUUGCCGGCAUAUUUUUACUGCAACCAAAUCGAGAUAUGUAUCACAAGCUCAUAUUGCUGUGAUAACUGCUGUCCUUGUCCCUGCAGUUCUGCGGGAUUGACAACUGCGUCAAUAAUUGCUGCAUAGGUGCUUUCGAAUAAUAUUCUAGUUCCAGGAUCAAUUGUAUGAGCUUCUUCGAUCGACAUAUUAAAAAAUUCUGCAUCAAAUUUUCCUAUAUUGUUGAUUUUUCCUAUUCGAAGAGGCAUUUUGUAGAUAUCUGACAAAAUUUAUAACGAUUUAUAUGAAAAUAACAUAUAUUUAAUUUAUAAAUAAGAACUACAUUCUAUUAAAGAUAGGCAAGAUAAUUUUAA
RNAcentral lists this long non-coding RNA (768 nucleotides) under Camponotus floridanus (Florida carpenter ant). RNAcentral describes it as "uncharacterized LOC112639320, transcript variant X2". The record is from RNAcentral. Lineage: Eukaryota; Metazoa; Arthropoda; Insecta; Hymenoptera; Formicidae.